Non-coding RNA from Acanthosepion pharaonis, 109 nucleotides. Lineage: Eukaryota; Metazoa; Mollusca; Cephalopoda; Sepiida; Sepiidae. The record is from the annotation of a GenBank genome assembly.
GGUCGCAACACGUCAAAACACCGGUUCUCGUACGAUCACAGAAGUAAAGCAAUAUUGAACCGAGAAAGUACUUAGAUGAGUGACCAUUUCGGAAUACCAGGUGCUGUAA